Molecule: ribosomal RNA, 497 nt
Filed under: uncultured bacterium
Lineage: Bacteria
Description: partial 16S ribosomal RNA
Rfam family: Bacterial small subunit ribosomal RNA
Source: RNAcentral
GACGAACGCUGGCGGCGUGCCUAAUACAUGCAAGUAGAACGCUGAAGAGAGGAGCUUGCUCUUCUUGGAUGAGUUGCGAACGGGUGAGUAACGCGUAGGUAACCUGCCUUGUAGCGGGGGAUAACUAUUGGAAACGAUAGCUAAUACCGCAUAACACUGGAUGACACAUGUCAUUUAUUUGAAAGGGGCAAUUGCUCCACUACAAGAUGGACCUGCGUUGUAUUAGCUAGUAGGUGAGGUAAUGGCCCACCUAGGCGACGAUACAUAGCCGACCUGAGAGGGUGAUCGGCCACACUGGGACUGAGACACGGCCCAGACUCCUACGGGAGGCAGCAGGAGGGAAUCUUCGGCAAUGGGGGCAACCCUGACCGAGCAAAGCCGCGUGAGGGAAGAAGGUUUUCGGAUCGUAAAGCUCUGUUGUAAGUCAAGAACGGGUGUGAGAGUGGAAAGUUCACACUGUGACGGUAGCUUACCAGAAAGGGACGGCUAACUACGUG